Molecule: long non-coding RNA, 1986 nt
Filed under: Zonotrichia albicollis (white-throated sparrow)
Lineage: Eukaryota; Metazoa; Chordata; Aves; Passeriformes; Passerellidae
Description: lncRNA (ENSZALG00000012555.1)
Source: RNAcentral
UGGGAAGCCUGACUAGCUACUUGUUUGGAAGAAUAACCUAAAGAAAAUUCAUUGAUAUUUGGUUUACUUUAAUUUUAAGUAGUAGUUAAAAUGUAAUGGGGUGUAUAAGGUGAGAUUUGGGAAUUUCUCAUGUAAUGAAAGCCAAGAGGUACAUUUAAAAAGAUGAUAAUUUGGAGAGCUUCCUAGAUUGAUCUCUACUCAUUCAGCUUGGGGAAAAAAUGACAGGCAAAAACUUUGCGAUAUGGCAUUUCAAGCAUGGAGACAACAUUAAAAAUGGGAAAAAUUAUUUCUAUUACUUUUUAAGGACUAGCUCACCACAUCAGAUACAUUGCAAAAUGUGGGACAGAUUGCUGGUGUGGGAGCUGCUAAACCACCAACCUGCUUCUGCAGCUGGCCAAGGGAAUGGGAGAUGGAACAGACUCCUGAACUCCCUGGAAUUUCAAGAAGGACAUUUCUUCUUCAGGAAAUAUUGUUGUGUGAUGAUAGCCAUGAUACAAAGCUGGUACUGCAUAGCUGCACUUCCAAGAAACAGGAAACAAAAGAGAAGAAACGGAAAUGAGAAAAAUGUGUUACGUGGAAGAAAAGUAGAUGGCUUUGCAGUGAGAUUUAAGCAUGACAAAUCUAAUGACUUCGAGGAAAUUAAGAAUUUUUACAGCCUAACACUGCACUGGUGGGGUGAAACAUGGAGCUGUUAUCUUACCCUUAAAUCAGUGCAACAGAUGUGGAGGGGCACACAAUGGGUUCUGCACAGAAUCAAUGGAUCUCUAACUGAUUUAUGGCUUUUAAACAUUAGAGCUUCCUUAGAAUUUAUCCUGCUUCUUUCUUUUCUCUCUUUUCUUCCCCCUUUCUUUUAUUUUGUCAACUGUAUAAUGUAUCACUAUCAUUCAUACAGUGUGAAGAAUGAAGGUGAAUUCUUUUCCCAACUCCUUGCUUUUUUUUUCUUUUGUGUGAAAGAUAGGCUUUUAUGUUUCUAUUUUUUCAUCUAAGUUUAUCUACUAAAGUGUUCAAAAAUGGGGGAACUUCUGUAAAGAUCUGGAGAAAUUUCACUUUAAAGUAUAGCACAAUCAAUUUAGAAAAGCCUAUAUUGGUAAAAACUGCCUAGUGUCAUUUAUCCUUACCUAGGAUAUUUAAUUUUUAAAUACAUCUUCAGAUUCAGUGUGAAACUACUGGUUUCCAGAGAGCGAAACAAUGUGAAGGCUUAUGUUCUCAAUAGUUUUCCUUAAAUUACAUGUCCACCUUCCCCCAACCCUUUUAAUCUUUUUCUUUUAUUCUUCUCUCUCUCCCAAACUAUAUUUUAUCAUCUUAUAGGGACAGAAGGAUCAGAUCAGUAAAGUAGCUUUUUUAAAAAAAGGUUAAAGUAGAAGUUUCAAGACUUAUUCUGGUGGUAAUAUCAAAUGAAUUUUAUAAUUGUGGUGAUUUCUCUUUCACAGUUCCUGUCUUUAUUGAAAUCCUGGAAUGAAUAUCACAGGUAUGUGAUAAGUUGCAAACACUAUUUCUUUUCUUCAUUAAGGGAAAGUUUUAGGCUGUUCUGCCUUAAAAAUCUGUUUAUAGUAAUAGAAAUUGCUUCUCUUUUACCUCUUCAUUAAGGAAUAGAAUCUGAAAUGUGUGAAAGUUGAGACAAGUGAACAAAUGCGUGCAUCAUGAAUCAAGUUAUUUUCUAGUUAGCACUGCUACACUGGGAUUUAACACACCAAAAUUAUGCAUUUUAUUUUAGCACAUUUGAUGGAUUUAUCCCAACUUUUUUAAAUGCAGAAAAAUCCCCUGAUUACAAAUGUCCCAGAAUAGCUGAUUAAUAGUCAUUAACAUGUCCUGGAGAUUUGUUUGAAUCAACUCUGGACAAGGAACUCUUAGAUGUAAAUAUUGUCCAAAAGCAAUAAGGAAAUUUUUAUCCAAUUCUAUGCCAAACACACUCAAGGUUUUCUUGCACUGAUAAUUUGUCAGAUAAUAUUAUUUUUGGGGUUAUUUCUGAGCGCAUUAUUUAACAGA